Molecule: ribosomal RNA, 253 nt
Filed under: uncultured bacterium
Lineage: Bacteria
Description: partial 16S ribosomal RNA
Rfam family: Bacterial small subunit ribosomal RNA
Source: RNAcentral
UACGUAGGGGGCAAGCGUUGUCCGGAUUUAUUGGGCGUAAAGAGCGUGUAGGCGGUUCGGUAGGUCCGUUGUGAAAACUCGAGGCUCAACCUCGAGACGCCGAUGGAAACCCCCGAACUAGAGUCCGGAAGAGGAGAAUGGAAUUCCUGGUGUAGCGGUGAAAUGCGCAGAUAUCAGGAAGAACACCCGUGGCUAAGGCGGUUCUCUGGUACGGUACUGACGCUGAGACGCGAAAGCGUGGGGAGCGAACAGG